This 448-nucleotide ribosomal RNA is filed under the name Limnothrix sp. IW3. RNAcentral's name for it is "bacterial SSU rRNA". It matches the Rfam family "Bacterial small subunit ribosomal RNA", at positions 28 to 523 of the family's 1533-position model. The record is from RNAcentral. Lineage: Bacteria; Bacillati; Cyanobacteriota; Cyanophyceae; Pseudanabaenales; Pseudanabaenaceae.
GAUGAACGCUGGCGGUAUGCUUAACACAUGCAAGUCGAACGAAGUCUUCGGACUUAGUGGCGGACGGGUGAGUAACGCGUAAGAAUCUACCUAUAGGUUCGGGACAACAGUUAGAAAUGACUGCUAAUACCGGAUGUGCCGAGAGGUGAAAGUUUUAAUGCCUAUAGAUGAGCUUGCGUUCGAUUAGCUAGAUGGUGGGGUAACGGCCUACCAUGGCGACGAUCGAUAACUGGUCUGAGAGGAUGACCAGUCACACUGGGACUGAGACACGGCCCAGACUCCUACGGGAGGCAGCAGUGGGGAAUUUUCCGCAAUGGGCGAAAGCCUGACGGAGCAAUACCGCGUGAGGGACGAAGGCCUGUGGGUUGUAAACCUCUUUUGUUAGGGAAGAUAAUGACGGUACCUAACGAAUAAGCAUCGGCUAACUCCGUGCCAGCAGCCGCGGUWA